Molecule: ribosomal RNA, 538 nt
Filed under: Dodecaceria sextentaculata
Lineage: Eukaryota; Metazoa; Annelida; Polychaeta; Terebellida; Cirratulidae
Description: partial 16S ribosomal RNA
Rfam family: Bacterial large subunit ribosomal RNA
Source: RNAcentral
UGCCUAUAGAACCAAUAUUAUAGGUAUAUCCUGCCCAGUGAUAAAAUCUAUUAAACGGCCGCGGUACACUGACCGUGCUAAGGUAGCGCAAUUACUUGCCCCCUAAUUAGGGGCCCGUACGAAUGGACCUACGAAAGCUAAGCUGUCUCACAAUCACACUAUAGGAAAACUAAUUUUUAGGUGAAAAAGCCUAAAUAAAAUAAAAAGACAAGAAGACCCUGUAGAGCUUCAUCCUUAAAUUGAGUAAAAUAACACAUUUUUGAACUCAUAACUCAAUGAAAGAAUUUUACUGGGGCAGUAAGAAACCAACCAAAACGUUUCUACCCUACCACGACCCUCCGUCCCCCACAAGACCCUUUUAAAAACAUAUUAAAAUGUGUUUAACCAAAAGACCUUAAGAAAAGCUACCUCAGGGAUAACAGACUAAUCCUUCUUAAAAGUCCACAUUAACAGAAGGGGUUGGCACCUCGAUGUUGGCUCGGGAUCCCCCCAACGUGCAGUAGCGUUGCUGGUAAGUAUGUUCUCCUUUUAAAAUCCC